Molecule: ribosomal RNA, 456 nt
Filed under: uncultured bacterium
Lineage: Bacteria
Description: bacterial SSU rRNA
Rfam family: Bacterial small subunit ribosomal RNA
Source: RNAcentral
UACGGAAGGCAGCAGGGGGGAAUAUUGCACAAUGGGCGAAAGCCUGAUGCAGCUAUGCCGCGUGUAUGAAGAAGGCCUUAGGGUUGUAAAGUACUUUCAUCGGGGAGGAAAAAACAAAACUAAUAAUUUUAUUUCUUGACGUUACCCGAAAAAGAAGCACCGGCUAACUCCGUGCCAGCAGCCGCGGUAAUACGGAGGGUGCUAGCGUUAAUCAGAAUUACUGGGCGUAAAGAGCACGUAGGUGGUUUUUUAAAGUCAGAUGUGAAAUCCCUGGGCUUAACCUAGGAACUGCAUUUUGAAACUGAAAUACUAGAGUAUCGUAGAGGGAGGUAGAAUUCUAGGUGUAGCGGUGAAAUGCGUAGAUAUCUGGAGGAAUACCUGUGGCGAAAGCGGCCUCCUAAACGAAUACUGACACUGAGGUGCGAAAGCGUGGGGAGCAAACAGGGAUUAGAUACC